AGAGUUUGAUCCUGGCUCAGGACGAACGCUGGCGGCGUGCUUAACACAUGCAAGUCGAACGGUGAAGGGACCAGCUUGCUGGUUCUGGAUGAGUGGCGAACGGGUGAGUAACACGUGAGUAACCUGCCCCCUUCUUCUGGAUAACCGCAUGAAAGUGUGGCUAAUACGGGAUAUUCUGGGUCUGUCGCAUGACGGGCCCGGGAAAGAUAUUGCUUCGGUGGGGGAUGGGCUCGCGGCCUAUCAGCUUGUUGGUGGGGUGAUGGCCUACCAAGGCGGUGACGGGUAGCCGGCCUGAGAGGGUGGACGGUCACACUGGGACUGASACACGGCCCARACUCCUACGGGAGGCAGCAGUGGGGAAUAUUGCACAAUGGGCGCAAGCCUGAUGCAGCGACGCCSCGUGAGGGAUGGAGGCCUUCGGGUUGUAAACCUCUUUCRMCAGUGAAGCAGGCCUGCUCCUUGUGGGUGGGUUGACGGUAGCUGGAUAAGAAGCGCCGGCUAACUACGUGCCA
RNAcentral lists this ribosomal RNA (512 nucleotides) under Actinomyces sp. 13-533. RNAcentral's name for it is "bacterial SSU rRNA". It matches the Rfam family "Bacterial small subunit ribosomal RNA", at positions 8 to 510 of the family's 1533-position model. The record is from RNAcentral. Lineage: Bacteria; Bacillati; Actinomycetota; Actinomycetes; Actinomycetales; Actinomycetaceae.